UGGGGAAUUUUGGACAAUGGGCGAAAGCCUGAUCCAGCAAUGCCGCGUGUGUGAAGAAGGCCUUCGGGUUGUAAAGCACUUUUGUCCGGAAAGAAAUCCUUGGCUCUAAUACAGUCGGGGGAUGACGGUACCGGAAGAAUAAGCACCGGCUAACUACGUGCCAGCAGCCGCGGUAAUACGUAGGGUGCAAGCGUUAAUCGGAAUUACUGGGCGUAAAGCGUGCGCAGGCGGUUUGCUAAGACCGAUGUGAAAUCCCCGGGCUCAACCUGGGAACUGCAUUGGUGACUGGCAGGCUAGAGUAUGGCAGAGGGGGGUAGAAUUCCACGUGUAGCAGUGAAAUGCGUAGAGAUGUGGAGGAAUACCGAUGGCGAAGGCAGCCCCCUGGCAAGUACUGACGCUCAUGCACGAAAGCGUGGGGAGCAAACAGGAUUAGAUACCCUGGUAGUCCACGCCCUAAANGAUGUCAACUAGUUGUUGGGGAUUCAUUUCCUUAGUAACGUAGCUAACGCGUGAAGUUGACCGCCUGGGGAGUACGGUCGCAAGAUUAAAACUUAAAUGAAUUGAC
Molecule: ribosomal RNA, 565 nt
Filed under: uncultured bacterium
Lineage: Bacteria
Description: partial 16S ribosomal RNA
Rfam family: Bacterial small subunit ribosomal RNA
Source: RNAcentral